GUCAUAAUAGUUAAUUAAUAACAAUAAAUUGCAAGUUUAGAAUUGGUUUUUUCCUUUUGAUA
Molecule: transfer RNA, 62 nt
Filed under: Graptacme eborea
Lineage: Eukaryota; Metazoa; Mollusca; Scaphopoda; Dentaliida; Dentaliidae
Description: tRNA-Cys
Source: RNAcentral